UACGGGGGGUGCAAGCGUUGUUCGGAAUUACUGGGCGUAAAGGGUUCGUAGGUGGCCACGUAAGUCAGACGUGAAAUCCCUCAGCUUAACUGGGGAACUGCGUCUGAUACUGGUCGGCUUGAGCGCAGGAGAGGAACGCGGAAUUCCAGGUGUAGCGGUGAAAUGCGUAGAUAUCUGGAGGAACACCGGUGGCGAAGGCGGCGUUCUGGACUGCAACUGACACUGAGGAACGAAAGCCAGGGGAGCAAACGGG
Molecule: ribosomal RNA, 253 nt
Filed under: uncultured bacterium
Lineage: Bacteria
Description: partial 16S ribosomal RNA
Rfam family: Bacterial small subunit ribosomal RNA
Source: RNAcentral